This 364-nucleotide ribosomal RNA is filed under the name uncultured bacterium. Its description in RNAcentral is "bacterial SSU rRNA". It matches the Rfam family "Bacterial small subunit ribosomal RNA", at positions 30 to 396 of the family's 1533-position model. The record is from RNAcentral.
AUUGAACGCUGGCGGCAUGCCUUACACAUGCAAGUCGAACGGCAGCGGACCUUCGGGUGCCGGCGAGUGGCGAACGGGUGAGUAAUAUAUCGGAACGUACCUUUCAGUGGGGGAUAACGUAGCGAAAGUUACGCUAAUACCGCAUAUUCUGUGAGCAGGAAAGCAGGGGAUCGCAAGACCUUGCGCUGAUUGAGCGGCCGAUAUCAGAUUAGCUAGUUGGUGAGGUAAAGGCUCACCAAGGCGACGAUCUGUAGCGGGUCUGAGAGGAUGAUCCGCCACACUGGAACUGAGACACGGUCCAGACUCCUACGGGAGGCAGCAGUGGGGAAUUUUGGACAAUGGGCGCAAGCCUGAUCCAGCCAUG